AACAAGCAGAGAUUAAAAAAAAAAAAAGGCAGCGAUCCCAGCCAGUCAGCGAGCCGAGAAAUUACCCAGCAGAUUACAAAAGAGAGAUAUAGUGUUUUAAUUAGUCAGCUUUACGGGUUCCUGGGUGGCAUGUGUGCUCUGUUCAUCCAGCUCAGGCCAGCUUUCUGUGUUUAUGGUCUGUAACGUUAAAAACAACUUUAUGGUCAUUAAAGUUACUUUUACAACCAGAAUAAUCAGAAUAGAUUAUGGUGCAGGACAGUACAAGUUAUUUGAGGUGAUAAAAAACAAACAAACAAACAAACAUGUGAUUGUAAUUCAAGAAAAUGAAAUUUCUUACUAUAAGUUUGUACUGGCGGUGCUGUUUAGGUUGGGAAGGAAACAUAGCAAAUACUUGCCAAAGGCAUAGCAAACCCUUUGAUUUAUUUUUUUUUUUUCACAUUUUGUCGUGUUGUAACAACACAUUUCAGUGUGUUUUUUUUAUUAGUGAAGUGGAAAGAAAAUGAAUUUUCCAUUAUUUUACAAAAAACCCCAAAAAAACUUCUGAAAGGUGCUGUGUGCAUUUCUAUUCAGCCCAUUUUAGACCAACACGCCUAAAUUGAAUCCAGUGUUACCAACUGUUUACAGAAGUAGCAUGGUGUGUAGUUUGUAAACUAAUCUCACUAUAAAUACAACUUUUCCGUGAGUAAACUAAACUGACAGGCUAAGUAAGGAUAGUAUUAAACAGAGUAUCAGUGGAAAUGCCCAUGGUGACUCUGGAGGAGCUGCAAAGAUCCACACAAGAUUGGGAAGAAGAAAGCAAUUGAACAAAUGCUAACUGAAGUCCUUUUUACAGUUUGCCAGUUUGUAAGUGAAACUAUCGGAACUGAAAAUAUUCAUUUGUCUUUAGUAAAAUAGCUUCAUGUAUACCAAACCUUGUCAAAUCCAAGGGGUCACAUUAGAAAGUGUUUGUUAACAGAGCAGCUUUGCUUUUCAUUUUCACAUGGAUCUAUUGUUUUACAGGUUUACCUGGCCAAGUUGGAUUUUAGCUGCAUUAAAUGAAGAAUCAGUUUCCAACUACGUGCCAGCAGUCUGCAACGGCCGCGAGGUGGUGGACUCCACAACGUCCUCUUUGUGAAAAGGUUCCUCUGAAAGCACAAGAAACCAACCAUCCCCAGCAUCAGCCGUCCUUCCAUCAAACGUGGCCCCUAACUACGACGGGAGCCCUCUCCCUUCCCUUGACACCUCGCGUGUUGCAGAGAGAUAACGGUCAGGGUAGAACGACUGGCAGCGACGAGAGCAACUCUAACUGUGAAAGCUAAAAGAUGUUCAAUCUUCCGAGCCGUAUGUAACAAAGCCUUUUUUUUGUAUAGAUUUUAAACGCUGUGAUCGCCUUUGGUUUACAGAUAGAUGUGAUUACCUGCACCGUGCCUUGUCUUUAAAGAGUCUUAUUGUGACAUGGGUGGUUGUGAAGCAAUAGUGUAAUACAAAAUGCUGUUCUUAUCUAGUCCUAACAGUGUUGUGAAUAUAUCCAAAUGUUUUAGACAUUGUCAAAAAAAA
Poecilia latipinna (sailfin molly) is the source of this 1536-nucleotide long non-coding RNA. RefSeq lists it as uncharacterized. Lineage: Eukaryota; Metazoa; Chordata; Actinopteri; Cyprinodontiformes; Poeciliidae. The record is from RefSeq and is a predicted model, not a curated record. The transcript is spliced from 2 exons.